AUAAAAGCGUGUUUUAAAUAAAUAAAUGUAAAUGUACUUUAAUGUUGUUAUUAGUGUUGUUUGCUAAGGCAUAAUACUUUAGGGAUUUGAACAAACUUCUCACCUUAAUUUAUCACAUUUCAGUGUGUAAUUGCACUGUUUUUUACCUCACAACAUGCAGCUUGAGGUAGGCCAUUUCUCUUGUAAGUGAUUAAAGUUUUUGCCCAGCAGACAAAUAAAAAAACCUGCUUCAACUAGAAAGAGGGACCCAAGCCAAAUGUAAGGACUGUAGUAUCACAGACUUUUGAUUUUGGCCAGUUAGCAACCAACACCCUAGCGAUCACUCAUCUGUUGAAUUAAAGCGACAGAUUUUGCAAACACCAUUCUACGCAAGUUCUCUUCCAAAAUUUUUACAGUGAAAACUGAUCUUUAGAACUCGAGCUGAAAAGGAAAUACAUGAAAAGUUGUUUUUGUACAAAGGGCGAAGGGGACACAAGCUUCUCUGUAAUGCCUCGUUUAAGCUUGGAAAGAUUCCGAGCACAACAAACAAUAGCAAUCAAACACUAUGGGCUAAAGAGUGUGUGAGAGAGGGUCCAGUAUAGUGUUAUUCCUUGCCGGAAGAAACGAAAAAGAAACAAGCAACAAAACUGCUCAUCAGGGAAUGUUAGCAGACUGAUAGAUGAGUAUACCAUUGCUUAAUUGUGUUCCUGUUAGGAGGAGCCCAGAUGUGCAUUUGAGAUGUAGUCAAAGGUUUGAUGAGAGUGGCUAGGUGCCAGAGGAGUUGAUUUCCAGCAAAGCACAGAGAACCAAUCAAAUUAGGGUUAAAUUAGAGAGAAGAUAUGUUGAGUUUCAGUCCUCCCCUGUGUCUUUCUCUGCAGUGAAACUGAAUGAAAGAUUAGCUUCAUCAGCUACUACACACAGGUUAUAACUUCUAACUAAGCUUCUGUCAUUUAAAAGACAUCUUUUUGUCAAUCUGCUGUAGAUACAGUAGAUGUUUUUACCUUCAUUUGGGAGAAGUCUACACAGAGAAUGAAAAAUAACUUUUAACCUGCCCAUGAACUCUGUCAAUCAUAUGGCAGUGCACGGAGCCCUCACCUGGGGCAGCAUCAGAGUGCUGUUUCUGACCUUGACGCUGUCAGUGGCAGUCAAAUUUGUCAGCAGCUGUCACUGUAGGGGACUACAUUUCCAAACUGUGAGGUAAUGGGGAGGACAGAGAAGAUUGUUGGCCAGCAAAGGGUUAGGGACAGAAGAGGGCAUUUGGCUGAGAAUUUGGUGUUAAACCUUCAGGGCUCCAUUCAAAAUCGUUGAAUUUGGAUGAAGCUGACUCUAUAUUUGUCCUCCAGGGGGGAUGCCAGAGAAGAAAAACAACAGACCUCUACCCAUUUGACCAUCUGUGCAUUAGUGACCUCCAUGUGGUCAAGCUGACAUUGCCAGCAAGUGAAGAGAAGGGCCAGGAUGUAGGAUCCACACACCUGUUUGGGGUGCACCACUGACUGAGCCAAAUAUAGACAGUUUCCAUGGCAAUUGCAGAGAAUCUUUCUCAGGUGGAGGGGCUGCUGCAGUCCAAUAGCAGGAUGUGUUUUUCUAAAUGGCUAUAGGGGUCUAUUGCGUAAUGCCAUUUUCCGGGAAAUUGAAAAAGAAGUCCUGUUGCUUCAUGCACAAGUCACUUGUGCAAUCAGGUGACACUGAGAGAACAUUGGAAGUUAAAAGUAAUGUUUUGCUGGUUUUGUCUUUUUUUUUUUUAUGCUCCAAGAGCAAUGCUGUGAACUCCUCAACUUUGAACUUUUCACUUAAAUCUGAUUUGUGAGAAUUUGGAACCUUGUUGUUCCUUGAUCAACAAGGAUGUGGAUGAAGUUGUGCUACUCUGUAAAAUGGCAGUCACAUUUGUUUAUCCAUAGUGCUUCGUCUUGAUCUAGCUGUGAAAUAAGGCAUAUCACAAAUACAUGUUGCACCAUUGCAUUGGCUAGAAUGAUUGAAUCACUUUGUACUUUGAAUGCCAGCUCCCCCUGGGCAUUAUAUUUGGUACUGCAUGUCCGUUGAACCUCCAACUGUGCAAGUAAAUGUCUAUAAAACAUUUUUUCUCUGUUCUUGGGAUGUCUGAGGCUCAGUUCAGUGUCCAUGGAGUUCCCUUUGUUACAUCUUCAGAUAUCAUUUGGUACUUUGGCUUUUUUGGAAACAGUUAAUAUCUUUCUUCAAAAAAGGGUCAACAUCGUUCAUCUACCAUCUUAGUUGCAGAAAACUGUUCUGGACAGCAGUCCCACAAGCCCAAUCAGCAGGCUGACUUAUUCAGACUGAUGCUUUCUCCCACUGAUAACGGGACCCUGGAGAGACCGGAUGGCUGGCAGGUUCUUUUACGACUGCGGGGGAGCCACGGCACACACAAACUCUCACCAUGUACAAACAAGACUCAAAAUCAUACCUGCUCAAAUUAUUCUACCUUUCUUUCUUCCACAUUUACUGUCACAUUCCAUUGUAUGUUCACCUGCUGCUGCUGCUGUUGAACAGCCAAAUGAAGUGGAUUUUUCUUUUAGUGUUGAUCCAGUGUAAGUCUGGUCGACUAACCGCAGCAGUGAACCACAACGUGAGUCCUUUGAGGUAUGAGUUCACAACUAAGCCUGCAGGGCUUUUGUGUACAGCAGUUCAACUCUUAAUUGCAAGAAAAAUUAGGCGCCGUCUUCCAUUUACCAAACAGGCAGAUGUUGCCAUGGAAACGGUAAAGCACUUCAAGGCUUCGGCGAAUGAGAGGCCUUGGGUUUGAUUGGCCUGGAGGUCUGACUGCGGGGAAAACAGACCAGAGACAACAACACCAUGCUGUAGUUUUUGAUAUUGCCCCUAUGCUGUUGUAGAGCUUUCAAUACUGUAUUAUAUAGCUUAUAAAAGAUACAGUAUAACUGACUUCAAAAAUGUCUGUGUGUAUCUAUCAGCACAUCAGCUUACCAAGAGGGAAAAAAAGAACAUAUAGAAUUCAAAAAGCUACUUUAAAAGGCCUUUAAUGUGUUUUCCCUUCAACUGUGCCUUAGGCGAUUCAGAGCCGAGCGAAAAUACCAAUGAGCUACAGGCCGAGAGUUUACUGCAGGAUUUGUGCUUAUUUCUAUUUUCAAAAUUAUACACACAGUUGGAAUGUGUCAAAAUGUCAGAACACUUCCAAAAAAUACAGACAUUUAACUAAAAAAAAAAAAAAAACUUCCCGCUGUCCUUACCUAAUAGAUAAAGUCCUAGGUCGAAAAAUGACUAGCAAAUGAGAGAGGAGUGAAUGAUGAUGUAACUUGAGUACUUUAUACAAAAAAAAAACCAACAAAAAAAAAAAAACGUGUUAUUAUCUGAGCUUAUUUUAAACUAAUGAGCUUAGUGGAUUAUUGUUCCAUUCUUCAUGUGAAAAAAAAAUGUGGUCAGAACAGUGUGAAGCUAUCUGUGUCCCUACAGCAAUAUUUGUUGUUUGUUUAAUAGAAUCAAUUAAAUUCUUUUUCUCAAGCAUUAAACAAGAACAUCCUUCCUCACAUGGAUUUGUAUGUAUGGUCCUCACAAUAAUGAAAUGGUGAGGAUGAGGAAUUACACAAGCAUUCAAAAAAACAAUUUUUUUUGUCUUUUUGUUUGUUUGUUUGUACUCGGGUAAAGGUCAGAACUCUACGGUGACCCUGUAGUGCACAACACAUAGAAAUCACCAUAACACAACACAUCAUUUCUUUGUGUUGCGGCUUCUUUCCAUUGUGUCAUGGAGAUUUUGUGUUGUGUACUACUGGGCCACCAUGCAGAAAGAAAUUAGGCUAAAUAAAUAACACCUUUACACUUACAGAGUGAUAAAAUUUUCAUUCAGGGAGUUCAAUUUUCAAGAAGCUCCAGGUGAACUGUUCUUUAGUGGUUUACUAAUACGGUGUAUUCAUUACUCCGUAGACACAGUCUGUAUGACUUCCAGUAUCAUUCACAGCCUGGGAGGCAUGUGGGUUAGCAAGGCUAAUCGUAAUGUAGAUUUCUAUUGACUUUUGUAUUGACAUUAGAGCUGUGUGAAUGCAAAUGUGUGCUGUGUGGAUUGUUUGUGGCGCAGCUCUCACAGUCACAGCUUUUCAUUUGAAAAGGUUGCAGCGUUUGGUGACAAGAAGUGACUGCUAAUAAAUUGAAUUAGAAAUUGUGUAACACAGGAUGUGGAACAUGGGCUGCCUGAAUGGCAUGUAAAAUGUCGGCUUUUGGUAAUUUAUCUUUUAAUAAUUUAAAGAAAAUUCCAUUGAAAUGCUUUAUCGGAUCAUAACAAGGACAGUGGAUCACUUCUGCCCCCUAGAGUUUGAGAUCGUUAAAGCAGCCAACUCUUAGAUACUGUUUCAUUUAGAUUGAUUUUUUUUUUUUUUUUUUUUUUUUAAUUCUUCAUUCCUCAGAAGACCA
Cyprinus carpio carpio is the source of this 4353-nucleotide long non-coding RNA. Lineage: Eukaryota; Metazoa; Chordata; Actinopteri; Cypriniformes; Cyprinidae. The record is from Ensembl.